This is a long non-coding RNA of Cyanistes caeruleus (blue tit), 694 nucleotides long. RefSeq lists it as uncharacterized. The record is from RefSeq and is a predicted model, not a curated record. NCBI's taxonomy places the organism in Eukaryota, Metazoa, Chordata, Aves, Passeriformes, Paridae.
UUCUGCACUAACUUAAUCAGCAUCAUCCUAAGCACAAAUGAGUUCUUAGGAUUUCAUUCAUCCAAAGACUGGGAGGCUGGCCUGACCUUUCUUAGUUUAUAGAACACAAUGAGAUCACAGCCUAUUGCUUCAGGGGAAAAAUAGCAAAAGAUUAGUUUUAUGAUGAAGAUUUAAUAGAUUUGACAUGGCCAGAGGGCAUACCUGGUUUCUAACUUUCAUCUUCUAGCACUUUUUUUUUCUUUCCUUUAAUAAUGUGCACCUAUAAAAGUAAAUUCUUGCUUUUUAAAGUAAAGGAAGAUAUGAAGGUGCAAUAGCAACAAGUUGCUAGAAGUCCACGGAGAAGAUUUUGGAAAGAAACAUGAAUUCCUUAAUUCACGCCCUAGAGAAAUCCCAAACCUCAAAGUUUCAAGACGUUAUUUGUUAAAAGCACAGAGAAACAAUAAACCUCAGCAGGGAGGAAGGAGCAAGUUGUGAAACUUUAACAAGAUCUCCAAGGAAGCUUAGACAAAAAGGUACAAGGAGGACUUCUGGAUGCAGUCAAGCCUUAGAAAAGUAGAAGGUAUCAUCAUGCAGUGCUAUCUCCACAUGAGUUAACUUCUCUGUUUCACUCCUACUGCCUUCACUGCUCUGAUGACUGCAGGAUGAGCCAUCUCCAGCUAUCAAUAUGAGCUGAAUAACACCAAUGUUUCCUGUA